UACGUAGGUGGCAAGCGUUGUCCGGAUUUAUUGGGCGUAAAGCGAGCGCAGGCGGUUUCUUAAGUCUGGUGUGAAAGCCCCCGGCUCAACCGGGGAAGUUCAUUUGAAACUGGGGAACUUGAGUGCUGAAGAGGGGAGUGGAAUUCCUAGUGUAGCGGUGAAAUGCGCAGAGAUUAGGAGGAAUACCGGAGGCGAAGGCGGCCCUUUGGGCAUAAACUGACGCUGAGGUGCGAAAGCGUGGGUAGCAAACAGG
This 253-nucleotide ribosomal RNA is filed under the name uncultured bacterium. Its description in RNAcentral is "partial 16S ribosomal RNA". It matches the Rfam family "Bacterial small subunit ribosomal RNA", at positions 524 to 776 of the family's 1533-position model. The record is from RNAcentral.